Molecule: ribosomal RNA, 281 nt
Filed under: uncultured bacterium
Lineage: Bacteria
Description: partial 16S ribosomal RNA
Rfam family: Bacterial small subunit ribosomal RNA
Source: RNAcentral
GAUGAACGCUAGCGGCAGGCCUAAUACAUGCAAGCCGAACGGCAAGAUUUUCAGCAAUGGAAAUCCUAGAGUGGCGUAAGGGUGCGUAACACGUAUGCAAUCUGCCCUCAACAGGAGGAUACGCUCCCCGGAAAGGGGAAUUAAGACUCCAUAAGAUCUUAGAGUGGCAUCACUUAGAGAUUAAACUACCGAGGGGUUGAGGAUGAGCAUGCGCAGUGAUUAGUUAGUUGGCGGGGUAACGCCCACCAAGACGAUGAUCAUUAGGGGAACUGAGAGGUUGA